RNAcentral lists this ribosomal RNA (2265 nucleotides) under Salmonella enterica subsp. enterica. Its description in RNAcentral is "partial 23S ribosomal RNA". It matches the Rfam family "Bacterial large subunit ribosomal RNA", at positions 638 to 2802 of the family's 2925-position model. The record is from RNAcentral. Lineage: Bacteria; Pseudomonadati; Pseudomonadota; Gammaproteobacteria; Enterobacterales; Enterobacteriaceae.
UAGCAAGGUUAACCGAAUAGGGGAGCCGGAGGGAAACCGAGUCUUAAUUGGGCGUUAAGUUGCAGGGUAUAGACCCGAAACCCGGUGAUCUAGCCAUGGGCAGGUUGAAGGUUGGGUAACACUAACUGGAGGACCGAACCGACUAAUGUUGAAAAAUUAGCGGAUGACCUGUGGCUGGGGGUGAAAGGCCAAUCAAACCGGGAGAUAGCUGGUUCUCCCCGAAAGCUAUUUAGGUAGCGCCUCGUGAAUUCAUCUCCGGGGGUAGAGCACUGUUUCGGCUAGGGGGCCAUCCCGGCUUACCAACCCGAUGCAAACUGCGAAUACCGGAGAAUGUUAUCACGGGAGACACACGGCGGGUGCUAACGUCCGUCGUGAAGAGGGAAACAACCCAGACCGCCAGCUAAGGUCCCAAAGUCAUGGUUAAGUGGGAAACGAUGUGGGAAGGCCCAGACAGCCAGGAUGUUGGCUUAGAAGCAGCCAUCAUUUAAAGAAAGCGUAAUAGCUCACUGGUCGAGUCGGCCUGCGCGGAAGAUGUAACGGGGCUAAACCAUGCACCGAAGCUGCGGCAGCGAACGUAUCACCCAAGACAACUUUACGGAGUUGACGAUUGACGGAGCGAAGCGACGUCAAAGCGUUCAUUAAAGUCGAGUUGGCUUAGGGAUACGUUCGUUGGGUAGGGGAGCGUUCUGUAAGCCUGUGAAGGUGUGUCGUGAGGCAUGCUGGAGGUAUCAGAAGUGCGAAUGCUGACAUAAGUAACGAUAAAGCGGGUGAAAAGCCCGCUCGCCGGAAGACCAAGGGUUCCUGUCCAACGUUAAUCGGGGCAGGGUGAGUCGACCCCUAAGGCGAGGCCGAAAGGCGUAGUCGAUGGGAAACGGGUUAAUAUUCCCGUACUUGGUGUUACUGCGAAGGGGGGACGGAGAAGGCUAUGUUGGCCGGGCGACGGUUGUCCCGGUUUAAGCGUGUAGGUGUGUGUUCCAGGUAAAUCCGGUUCACUUUAACACUGAGGCGUGACGACGAGGCACUACGGUGCUGAAGCAACAAAUGCCCUGCUUCCAGGAAAAGCCUCUAAGCAUCAGGUAACACGAAAUCGUACCCCAAACCGACACAGGUGGUCAGGUAGAGAAUACCAAGGCGCUUGAGAGAACUCGGGUGAAGGAACUAGGCAAAAUGGUGCCGUAACUUCGGGAGAAGGCACGCUGACACGUAGGUGAAGUGAUUUACUCAUGGAGCUGAAGUCAGUCGAAGAUACCAGCUGGCUGCAACUGUUUAUUAAAAACACAGCACUGUGCAAACACGAAAGUGGACGUAUACGGUGUGACGCCUGCCCGGUGCCGGAAGGUUAAUUGAUGGGGUCAGCGUAAGCGAAGCUCCUGAUCGAAGCCCCGGUAAACGGCGGCCGUAACUAUAACGGUCCUAAGGUAGCGAAAUUCCUUGUCGGGUAAGUUCCGACCUGCACGAAUGGCGUAAUGAUGGCCAGGCUGUCUCCACCCGAGACUCAGUGAAAUUGAACUCGCUGUGAAGAUGCAGUGUACCCGCGGCAAGACGGAAAGACCCCGUGAACCUUUACUAUAGCUUGACACUGAACAUUGAGCCUUGAUGUGUAGGAUAGGUGGGAGGCUUUGAAGUGUGGACGCCAGUCUGCAUGGAGCCGACCUUGAAAUACCACCCUUUAAUGUUUGAUGUUCUAACGUGGACCCGUAAUCCGGGUUGCGGACAGUGUCUGGUGGGUAGUUUGACUGGGGCGGUCUCCUCCUAAAGAGUAACGGAGGAGCACGAAGGUUGGCUAAUCCUGGUCGGACAUCAGGAGGUUAGUGCAAUGGCAUAAGCCAGCUUGACUGCGAGCGUGACGGCGCGAGCAGGUGCGAAAGCAGGUCAUAGUGAUCCGGUGGUUCUGAAUGGAAGGGCCAUCGCUCAACGGAUAAAAGGUACUCCGGGGAUAACAGGCUGAUACCGCCCAAGAGUUCAUAUCGACGGCGGUGUUUGGCACCUCGAUGUCGGCUCAUCACAUCCUGGGGCUGAAGUAGGUCCCAAGGGUAUGGCUGUUCGCCAUUUAAAGUGGUACGCGAGCUGGGUUUAGAACGUCGUGAGACAGUUCGGUCCCUAUCUGCCGUGGGCGCUGGAGAACUGAGGGGGGCUGCUCCUAGUACGAGAGGACCGGAGUGGACGCAUCACUGGUGUUCGGGUUGUCAUGCCAAUGGCACUGCCCGGUAGCUAAAUGCGGAAGAGAUAAGUGCUGAAAGCAUCUAAGCACGAAACUUGCCCCGA